Molecule: ribosomal RNA, 255 nt
Filed under: uncultured bacterium
Lineage: Bacteria
Description: partial 16S ribosomal RNA
Rfam family: Bacterial small subunit ribosomal RNA
Source: RNAcentral
UACAGAAGUCCCAAGCGUUGUUCGGAUUCACUGGGCGUAAAGGGUGCGUAGGUGGCCAGGUAAGUUCGGUGUGAAAGCUCGGAGCUUAACUCCGAAAUGUCAUUGAAUACUAUCUGGCUGGAGGGUCGGAGGGGAGACUGGAAUUCUCGGUGUAGCAGUGAAAUGCGUAGAUAUCGAGAGGAACACCGGUGGCGAAGGCGGGUCUCUGGGCCGAUACUGACGCUGAGGAGCGAAAAGCGUGGGGGAGCGAACAGG